Long non-coding RNA from Astatotilapia calliptera (eastern happy), 1179 nucleotides. The record is from Ensembl. Lineage: Eukaryota; Metazoa; Chordata; Actinopteri; Cichliformes; Cichlidae.
GUCUGUACUGCCACAUCCUACAGUUGCUCUCCUGGGUUCAGACAUGCUGUCUGCAGAAGGUUUCACUUUAGCUUUGUGCAGCAGCAGACAUUAAAUGAUGAUAAAAUGUGGCCGUAGAGGGAUGCAGGGGUGGUCAGACUGGAUUCAGACCAGGGGCUGUUCCCGUUUGUCUGUUUUACACCACGUCAUCGCCUCGGUCAUGACUUCUCCUUACUGUGACCCAGAAAUCAGCUCGUCUUUAUUCCUCUAGGAGACAGGAUGCACAGGUGGAGACAGGAUGCACAGGUGGAGACAGGAUGCACAGGUGGAGACAGGAUGCACAGGUGGAGACAGGAUGCACAGGUGGAGACAGUCUUUCCAUGAACCGGCUCGACCGUCUGCAGCCUCAACGUUGGUCCGAGCUGCUUUUCUGCUCACGGUUGUAAACAGCGAUCCUCUGAGUUAGUGUAGCUGAUCUCUUCAGCUCAAAGCAGUCUGACCUUUGACCUUUUUCAUCAUUAGGGGGUUUCAGUCUACAGAGCUUCUGUUUUUCACUGUUCUGUGUAAGAUCUGUGGUUAAAAGCAGUAUCGAUAACCGAUCAGUGAAAUUUACAUUAUUUCUUCUUUCCCCAGUAAAUUCAACAUCUUUGGAGUUUUAACUGAAGAUCCGACAGCGCCACCUUCACGCCUCGGCUUUGUUAACGAUGGCUCCUGAAAAUUAUGAUUUUUUUUUUUUUAUUCCACUUUUGUGGAUGUUUCAAACUCUGUUAUUCAACAAAAUGAUUUUUCAAGUAGUCGACGGUGAAACCGGCCUCUCCACGGCUCGGGCACCGAGACGGACACAAACACAUUUUUGAUUAAAUUAUAAAGACCCAAACAAUAUGGAUUAAAGCUGGAGCUCGGCCUAAUUAGUAAUCGGGUUAUCCCGCUCUGCAUGAUGGCGUAAUGCUCUAUUGUCUUUGCACGUCCACAUACGUGUAGUUUUCACAUCAAAGAAUGUGUAGAGUGGGAUUAUGCAUUUAAUCCUCCUUCAGAUUGAAAGUGGAGACACUCAAAGGCUGGCAGUGCAGUAAAGGGAUGAUAAUUAUGAGUGUCUCUGUCUGACAGCGUCUCUGAAACGCCACAUGUGCUUAUUAUUAGAUGAGUGGAUGUGCUUUUAUUCCAAUGAUUUCCAGUUUCAGACCGCUGACUCACCGUGGA